This is a long non-coding RNA of Cebus imitator (Panamanian white-faced capuchin), 11929 nucleotides long. RefSeq lists it as uncharacterized. NCBI's taxonomy places the organism in Eukaryota, Metazoa, Chordata, Mammalia, Primates, Cebidae. The transcript is spliced from 11 exons. The record is from RefSeq and is a predicted model, not a curated record.
CGUGCUGUCCCUGAUGUCAGAGGCACGACUUCCUGAAUCUGGCUCGCGGUCCUGCCCGCUCCUGGGGCUCGGCCCAGGCUUUCCAUCCGGGACCAGCCCACCUCGGGUGCCUCUGGCCUUGGGCGCACACGCCCCAGACGCGCCCUCCCUUCCCAGUCUUCCCGCCAGUGGCUCCCGCCCCCGCCAUUACGCGUCCUUGCCCCCUCAGUCCCGGAACACGCCUCCUUCAGGACACAGCCGCUGCGGAACCAGCCCCAGUGUAUUUCACAGACGUGCCAGUGUUCCAGGGACUGGACACUGAACUCCGGGCAAACCAGGCUUCAGGGAAAACAGGUGCCUAAUAGAGAGGGCUUCCUGGAAGGGGUGGGAGGCGUUGGAGAGGGAGACCAGGCGGCAGGUUGGGUGAAGGCUCAGAUGUCUUAUCCGGACAAAUGAGCAUGACAGGCCCCUCUAGUCAACGCCAGGUGCUUCAAGGGGUGCAGGUAACAUCAGGACAGAUAGGCACUCUGUUUGCUACCUUUCGCCUCUUUAGAAUCUUUGCCUCUGCUCCCUGGAGGCUUUAAGGAGAACUGCGCCCCAGGAGCUGUCAGAACCAAAGAUGGAGGGGAAAGCUGUGCUUUUUUCCGAAAAGUUCUCAGGGGUUCUUCCCUCUCAUCCUCGGUUGCUCUCCAUCUACUUGUUAUUCAGAUCUCUUGGGUCUAGUUCCGAGCACAUGGGAUGCUAGGAAAUGAAAAGGCCUGCUCCACGGUUGAAUAGGGGACUCCAGACACGAAGCUCUGAUGAUCCAGGGCUUGUUUAUUGCCUCCAGGGAUACUGUGGGUGGGAAAACGGGGAGGGGGAUGCCAGAACCUGGCUGUGGAGCAUCUCAGGUGCCUCCUCGUGUCAUCCUGGGAGGUUCUUCCUGACAAGAGCCUGAGAUGCUGUUCCAUCGGCUGUGUUUGCCAGGUGCACAGGUACCAGGUGCCAGGUGCUGAGGCGGGACUUGCCCACCAUUGACUGUGCCUGAGUAUUGGUGUCCUUUGGCUCCUGUAAGUGGGCAUUAAAAUGACAGCUGCGACCAAUUGCUACAACUGAGCUUCAAGAGAUUCCUUUCUGUUUUUUCAGUAGAAACCACGUGGCUCUGAGUUGAAAGGCCAAAGAGAAAACCCACUAUCCAGCUUGAAUGCCAAAAAUACUUAGAAAAAGGAGAAAAUAAAGGUUUUCUUUCAAAGGAAGACUAGAUUCCCAAGUUGGGAGAAGCUGAAAUUAGUAAGGACACUUUAAGCCUGGAAUUGUCUACCUGUGUACAGUAGGUUCCUCUAAAGCUCCUGGAGCUUAAGGCCAGAAUAUAGAGUCUAACAAGGCCAUGAGGAAGACAGGCCUGGGAUGGAUGAUAGUAAGGCCUUGAAUACCGACCUGAAGAUACGGGAAUGGAAGUCUUUUGCCUGGAGGGUUACACACAUAUUAUUGUGUGUAUAUUAUUCAACCUUUCACAACACAUUUAUGAGAUGUUGUAUUAUCCUCAUUGUACAGGUGAGGAAAUUGUGGUUCAGAGGAAGCUAAGGAAAUUCCUCAAGGUCACAUAGCUAAUAAAUGAUUGAGCCAGAUUUGAAUCCAAGUGUUUCCAACCCCUCAAUGCAUCCUUUUACCACCAUAUCACCUAUAGAGGAGGAAUCUGCCUUCUGUGAAGGAAUUCCGCUCUUGAGCAGGGAUCAUGUGUGAGUCUUGAAUGAUGCCUAUUGUGGGGAUGCCAUAGAAAAUGCUUUUCUGGAAGUCUGGAGCAACAUUAUAGAUUGUUCCUGGCCAGGGUGAUGGGUAUGUAGGGUUGCUUUUAAGAGAAAAGGAAGGAAGAAACUAAAUGAGAAAAACAGGGCAAUCAAGUUGAGCUCAGGGCUUCAUGGACAUAGUUGUCUGAUAGUAGAAAGGAAACCAGGGGCCAUCCAUAAGAUGGUGUCUCUAGCUAUCUCAAUUAGUAAGGAAAAAAGUCUAGUGCUGAAAACCUGCAACUCCUGUGGCAGAGAAAUUGGGACUUAUAGGUGGGCUGGAUGGUGAAUUUUCUCACACUAGACUGCCAAGGCUGCAAAGUCUGUUGCUGUAUUGACACGACUAGAAGAUGCAAUUAUGCAGAAGAAAAGAAGUGGGCAUCUGGCCAGGAUGUUUUCACUCUGGGUGGAUGAUACAUCCCUUAUGAAAAAGCAGGUUGGAGUACUCACUUACCAUUUUAUUCUCUUGGCAGUAAAAUCCCAACUCCUAUGAACUCAUGAACAGCCCCAGGCAGCAACAGGGCCAUUACAUUUUGCUUAAUCCUUAUUAUUUUUCUUGUUUUCACUAAGGAUAGUUGAAAGUGGUCAAGAAACUAUUGACUUUCUCUGUGGGCACUAAAUGGAGUGGAACAAAAUAUUAAGUUUUUUUUUUUUUUAAAGAAGCCAAAAUAAGCAGAUUUGUAAACUAAGACUGGAAAUUGGAACCCCUUUUUGACCACCCCUCACUAGCUUUAGCACCUGUUGAUCUCUGGUUUCACAUCCGUAUGUUGCAGAAAACAGGUGUUGCCUCCCUCUCAGAAAAUCAAUGGAGUGCUAAGUACUGAACUUAGUCUGCUUUGAAGCUAAGACUGACUACACUUGGAUUUCUUUUUUGGCAAUGCCCUAUUUCAGACAGGUUAACUUGCAGUAUUGGCUAGUACUGAUCAACCUGUGCUGCCUGAAGACAGUUUCCCAUGAGUUUGCAAACUCUGAGCCUGGAAGCUGUGUCUUUUAUAAUGUGGUUGUACCCCGGACAAUGCUGCACAAAAUUGGAUACAUUCUUCAGGUGUGGGAAAUUUUAAAUUGAGAACAUUAUCUUUCUCUUACCAAUAACUGGUGUAUUCUUGCCUGCAACACUGUGAGAAGGUCGAGAAGGUUAAAAUGGGGUUAGGGAAAGUCCCCAAAUAGCAACCUGGAUGCUCUGAGGAACUGAGUGGAAGUCACAGGGCUGCUGACAAGGAGAAGGCUGUUAGGAGGAAAUGAUCAGACUACAAAUGAUGUGGAUACGAUGAGCACAGACUUGUUCAUCAGAUCCUGAAAUAUAGCAGUGCUUUGGAACUACAAGUGGGGCAAGUUCAGGACAAGUCAGCGGAAAUACUACUUCAUGCAGCAAGUAAUAAAUUUAUGGAAUGAAUUAUCUCCCAGAGGUGAUACAAACUGGCAACAUAAAUGGAUUCCAGGAGGGGCAGUGAGGGCUGCAGCACUCAUGGAAACCUUCCUGAUGGAGGUGUGUUGACCAGAAUAUGGGAAGUGCAGAUCUGAAGAUAGGAAAAGACGGAAUGGUUUCUAGUUGGCCGCAGCAUGAACACGGUUUGAUAGGACUUUUUUGGCUUUAGCCCCGUCUGGUUAAAGGAUGUAACAUCGCUGGGGACCUGAGCAAUCACUCCUCCUUCAUUGUUCUGGACAGUGGGGAGAAGCAGAGAAAGGAAAGGAGAAAAGUCACUGGGAGAGAAAUCUGAUGAGAGAAAGAUAAAGGCUACUGAUGGAGGUUAACACCACCAAUGUAUCUUCUUCCAAGACUUGAGAUCUUGUUUCCCCAACUGGCAAGAUAUAAGAAGGCAUCAUGGACUGUGAGCUCCUUAAGGACAAGGACUGAACUGCGUUGGGAAAGUGUUGGAGGGUUAUAGCAGAGGAAUGACAUAAUCUGACCUACGUUUUGAAAGAUCACGCGGCUGCUUAUGGAGAAUGGUCUCGUGAGUUGGGGAGGGGCGCAAGUUGGAAGUAGAAAGACCAGUUAGAAGGCAGGUGAGACAUGAUGGUGGCUUGGACCAGGAUGGCAGUGGAAGCACAAGUAUGUCACGGUCAGAUUCUAGACCCCUUUCGAAGAAGAAUUAGUGGGAUUUGCUGAUGGAUUGAUAGUAGGUGAGAGAAAGAAGGAAGUUAAAGAUGGUGCCGGAUAUUUUGGCCUGUGGAAAUAGAAGAUUGGCAUUGCAUUAACUAUGACGGGAAAGAUCACAGAGGAUCAGGUUUAGAAUAGGGAGUAAUUAAAGGUUCAACUGGGGACAUAUAAAAUUUGAGAUAGCUAUUAGAACUCCAGGAAGUCAUAUUGAGGGGAACGUUGAAUUUAUGAAUCUGGAAUUCAGGGAGAAGUUGGGCUGGAGAUGUAAGUUUGGUGAAUAUUCAUGGAAAUGGGUGGGGUGAGCGUAGGAGGAGAAAAGAAAGAAUCUGACGACUGAUCCCUGUGGCACUCCAGCGUUUAGAGAUUUCAUUGAUGAGGAGAGCCCAGCAAAGGAGAAUGAGAAGGAGCGACUAUGGAGGUGAGAGGGGAACCAAGAGUGGAUUCAUUGAUACCAACUGAAGACCAUAUUUCAGGUGGAGAAUACAAUUCUGUUAAGAGUUGAGAAUAGAUUUAAUAAGAUCUGUUAGUCCUAUUAGAUCUUCAGUCUGAGGAUUGAGAACCGACCAUUGGAUUUGAAAAUGUGAAAGUCAUAAAUGAUUUAAGAACAGUGGAAAAUAGAUGAUACUAAUAGAGAGGAUAUCUGCUGGACUGAUGUCCUUAAGUAAGAGAGAGGGAUAAGGUCCAAUAUGCAAACGAAGGGGACUGGUUUUAGAUAAAACCUAGUCACUAGAGGAAAGGCAGAGAUAUGGCCAUAAAAGCAAGCUGGUUUGUAGAUGGGAAGGUGGGAGUGGAUGCAGUUUCUCUUUUGAUUGCUUCCUUUUCUCAAAGAAAUAAGAAGCCAGGUCGUCAGCUGAGCGCGAAGGUGAGAGCAGAUGUCUUAUUCAUCUCUGCACCAUCCUCUUGUCCCCAGCAAUUAACAUGAUGCCUGGCACGUGGUUGGCAUUAACACAGGUUGGUAAAUAAGUGAAUUGGAGAUCUGCCAAAUGACUUCACAUUAGGGUUUUGGUUUUCUUUUCUGUCUUGGAGAUGUAAUUUCACUCUAGUUUUGAUCUGUUUUAUGUGUUCAGAACAUUUGUUGGAAUUAUGCAAAAAGAAGGGAUAUCAUGAUAGAAAACAACAUAUUUUUGACUAAAAAUAUAAUAGAUGAGUGAUUUCACAUUAUAUGCAUAUAGUGUGUUUAUAUGUACAUGUACGCAUGUUACAAAUUUACCUGCUUUUGCACCAACUUAAAUAUUUGUUAAUAAUACCAGAUACAAUAUAUAUUAAAUGAGAAGCAAAUCCAUUAUAGACGUUGACAACAUUCUACCAGAUAUAAAAAUACAGACACUUUCAAGAGAUUGGGAGAAGUCGGGUCCAUGCAUGACCAGCACAGCUCUGUGUGUGUGUGUGUGUUGGUGAGUGGGCUCUAGGUAGCCCCUCGAGCUACAUUAUAGAAAUCACUAUACCUCAUCUACCUAGUCCUAAGUCUGGCCUGGGUAGGACCAUGUCCUGUUCUGCCUUCCCAGCUGAUGAUUUCUGACCAGCUAUUUCUCAGUGACUUAACCUAAAAAGCUCCUAAUAUUAUAUCAUAUUGUCGAGAGAAGAACAUGAGGAAAGGCUUCUUUAAAAAAUCUAAAAGCCAAGGUGGUGGGGGUUAGAUAAGCAAGGAAGAGGGUGUGAAUUACUAAAAAACAGAGCUGAAAAGUUAUGUAGAAGCGUGACAUAUUUUGCAUUUGGAAGUCUUCCCAACCCGAAGCUAGCUGCAGUGGUAACAGAGGGGGAAAAGCUGGCAUCUGUUGGAUGACGGUGGAGUCUCUGGGACUGCCGUGAUUUCAAUCUGUGGAGGGGCUGCCUGUUUAUCUUCUCCCAAGCAGGGGCUCUUGAAGAAUACAGCUGGUAGGCAGUGCAGUCAAUUUUAGUUUGCCUCAUUUAUCUCCUUUUUUUAUAUCUUAUUUUUCUCUUUUAUUUUAUAUCUUAUUAUUUCUUAUUUUAGCUUUUUCCCUUCUCUCUUCCCCCUUCUCUUUCAACCAAUUCAUAGAAUUCAUUGUGAAAAGCAGGCAGCAGGACACGGAAACUAGUCUCAUAAAUUAUGACAAGAUGACCCCCCAUCAGGUUGGCUCCGAACCACAAGAGUGGUAGGGGGCUUAAGUAGGAACAAGAUGAAAGUGAGUGGAAGUGAAGUGGUCCCAGGGUCAUGCCUGAAGAGAGGGUGGAAGACCAGAAGAGAGAUGGCUUAAAGCACUGAUAUUGAAUUUUAGGGCUCUGAAAUUAUAUUGACUGCAUUAUUGGAACAUUGAGAGUGAGAAGGUGGUCUCAAGGCCAACUCAUGCAAACAGAGGUUGCAUUUGGAAGCCCUGAACCAUGACUGGAUGUGUUUUCUGUCGAGACAGAUGCACACAGAGCAAGCAGAGGAAAGAGGAGAAUGCUUCCACCUGCAUUUGCCCUGGCAUGCUUCAGCCAUUAGCUCUUCUCUUUCCAAGCAUUCAAACAUAUUAAAUAGGAAAAGUCUCGUCAAUUGCCCGAGACUAUAUUUAUUCAAAUCAGCCAGAAUGGGUUUCUCAAAGCAAAUGUCAACAUAUCAGAGAGGUGCAAGUGAUCUAGGAGAACACAGUCUUGAGACAACUCUGAAACAGGUUAUCACACUCAAAGACAGUUGAUACAUUUCCAGGCUCUACAAAUUUACCUAUAUUGUAUACCAUGUUGUAAAAUUUCAAUACUUUUCCAAAUGUUCAGUGCUAUUCUGGUUUUAGAAGGCUGUAAUACGUGUGAAAUGGGUUGUAAAGAUAGUAACAUAUUCACCCUUGUAUAUUUACAGCACAUUCCUGCAGGCAACUUGUAGCUCAGUGGAACAUUUACUCUGUAGUAUAAUUUUUCAAUAAUAUUACAUACAUUAAUAAAGGUAAUUUAGAAAAAGCCCCAUAAAGUCAUUUGACAUUUUUUGCAAAUUGCCAGAGUAAUAAAAAUGCCUUUACAUUAUGCUGCAAUGGAAAGCUGUGCCCUUUUGCUUGAUUAAGUCCCUUCAGCGUUUACAACUAGAUAUUUGUGUGUCACUUUAUUGCCAUCUUAUUUUAAUUUGAGCUAUGGAUUUCCUGCUCUGAAUGGCGCUACCCUUAUAGUUUUGGAGAAGCGCACUCUUAUCUUGCACAGCAGGAAGAUCAGAGGCAUGAAUCCUGGCCUAGAAUGUCCUAUCUCUACUAACUGCUCGUGAUACUUAGAUUAUACCCCAGGCCCCCAGUUCAAUCAGGUUUUCCAGUCAAUGCUUAGCAAGUGUUUAUUCAUCAUCUUCUAUAUGCUUAGCUCUGGUAGUGACUGUGGGGGAUACUGAAGUAAGAUUGUAGUCUGGGGUAAGAAGUUUUUAAAUAGCUUUGCUAAGGGUCUGGGGUAGAGGGUAAGACAGCCCCAGUACGUGUUUCAGCUUCCGUAGAUGAUCGCUACAUUUCUCUGCUGGAACCAAGGAGAAUUGUCUUAGCUCUGAGAAAGAGGAAAGACUGGGAAGAAAGAGGAGGGAGGGUCUAUGAGAAAAGAAGAUGGUGAGUUAGUAAGGAAGGAAGAAGAAAAGGGAAUGCAAAAAGACAGAUUCUGAGAUUGCUCCUUAGUUUGAGAAGUGAUUUCCUUCUUUGGAAACCUUUAGGAAAUUUUACUGUUCCUACAGAUGAUCUGGUUAGGGGUUGAUUUUUUGGGGUGUAGGAUCUGCAGAGGAAUCUGAUAGAGGACUGGAUUUCUAACUGAUGUAUGCUUAAGCCACAGGGGCUCAUAAAACCAUGUUUACGGGAGAGCUUUAGGCUUCAUCUGGCCAUGGACUUGGGGGGUGGUCUGUGUCCAUUAAAUCUAGAUCUCUUGGAACAGGGAGGCCCCCAGCCAACUUUUGAGUUAAACCAUAAUCAGAGACUCCAAUCAAAAUACUUAUAACCAGAUCAGAAAAUUAAAACCAACACACAAAGCCAAGCCAUCUGAUAGAGACAAUAUAACAAAGUGGUACUUUGUGAGUUAUGGCUGUGCUGGUCAGGAGAGGAAGGACCCCUGCAAGAUGAGGGUGGGUUUUAAAGAGCUUCUUGAUUUCCUGACCAAGCAAUCUAAGACCCCUUUAAAGGAAUAUGUGAGACUCAAUGGGGGCCUUAGAUGGUCUAAGGAUUUGGCUCAGCUGAACAGAAUUUGGGGGCAUGCAAAGAAAGAGGUGCACCCACAAACAGAUGCAUGGCAGGUAGAGGAAGUGUGGCUGGCCCACCACUGGGUUCCUUACUCCUUGGCCUAUGGUCAGAACUUUCUGGGCCCUGAUUCCUACAAAUAUGUUAGGUCCAGACUCAAACCUGUCCUUCACACACCACGUCCCAGAAAUAACAAAUACCGUAGUUCAUUCACUCAUUCAUUCAAAAAGGCGGGUAGCAUUCUUAUUGCUAUAAUUACAGUGGUAAAUAAUACAGGCAGAGUUUCCGUCCUGUCCCAUGGGAGAGACAGAGGCCUAGCCUAUAAACCCACACAAUGAGACAACUCUAAAUUGUAACUGAUAACUUGGAGAGAACCAACAGGAUGCUGUUGGAGGCCACUGCAGGGCCUUGCUGGGGAGAUGAUGUUUAACCUGGGACCUGAAGAAAUGAUCAAGAAAAAGUCAUGAAGAGAGUAUGGGAACAGAGAAAGGAAUGACUCAGGGAGAGGGGAAAGUGUGUGUGAAGGCCAUGAGUGGGGAGUGAAUUUGAUGCUUUGGAAGAUGUUUGAAGAUCAACAUGGCAGAGUUAGUAAGACAGUAAGAAGCCUGAGACAGAGCUAGGGAGAGAGUUGGACCAGAUAAUUUAAAGCCUUGUAAGCCAAACACAGGAAUUUAGGUUCUGUGCUGACUACAAUGAGAAUUCAUCAGAAGAUUUUGAGCAGAAGUGUUAAACCUGUUCAAAGAUUUUUUUUUUUCAUUUCUUGGUUUCUCUGUGAAAAAUUUUAACAAUACAUUCAACACAAAAAGUGUUGACUUUACAGGCGUGUGCAAGCCGCAGUCAUCUAUGCUACAGAAAAUGGCAUAACCUGCUAAGGUUUACUCAUUACGGGUCCCGGAGCAGCCAACAGAUGGAUAAUAACAUUUAGUCACUACCGACUGGUAAUUACAGUAUGCAUUUAAAGAAGAAAUAAGUACGUUUCCUGCUUCAAGUUCUCUCUUACGAAACGGAGAACCAAUAUCUCCCACAUUGUAUACCAGAGACGCAAUCCAUAGCCCCAGAACUGAUAGAAAACUCCCUGAGGUUAAUAAUUCAUGCAUGACUUGUGAUUGCAGUUGUACGUUAUAUCUGUUUUCAUUAGAUGUUCCCCUUUAUUGAGUUUUCACAGUGCACAUCAGCAGCCUCUAUGUGCCCCUGUUCAAAAUAAGCUGCUUGCUUUUAAAAUGUUCUGGACUAUAUAAUUUCAUUUGGGCCAUUAUGGGAAACACAUGGUUCCUGUGUGUCUGGCUUUUUAAAUCUUUUCACACUCUUGUCUAAGACUGUGGUUUGGAUAUUGAUCCCAAACUAUGUAGGUCUGAAGAAUCGUGGCUGCCAUUUUUUUAUGGAUGGAUUUACCCCUCCUGCUCCUCAGUGCAGAAUUUUCUGAUCCUAAGAGGAGGGUUUCUAAUUUAGGUCAUUUUGCAAGAAGGCAUUGCAUGUACUUUGACACAAACAAAGCUCUUGGUUUGCAUGCAGCCAAGAGAAUGACAGCCCAGUCAUUCAGGUCCUGAUGCUUAUACUCAGGGAGCUGCUAUAUCAGAACCAGAGUUUGGGCUCUGACCUGGCUCUCUACCAAAUCCUGGGUCAGAAACUGGGCUCUGCCACAUCUUCCUCUGAGGGAUUCAUUGUUCCAUCCACAAAAUGGCUAUUAUUUUUUUCUUUUAGUUUUCUGGGACCAGAUAGAAAUUUCUGAAAUAAGGGCUGCCUUGUAGCUAUGGGUGACAUAGUUUUAAAAAUCAAAUGGAAGCUAUAUUGCUGUGAAGACACAACUCAUAUGUAUAGAUUGAUAGACAGAUAUGUACAGAUACACAAAUUAUUAAGAGUAGCCAUCUCUGGAUGGUGAUAUUUUAAUUAUUCCUUUUGUUAUUGACAUUUUCUAACUUUUUUACAAUGAACCCAAAUUAUUUGUAUAAUGAAAAAAAUGUAAAAAAAAAAAUCUCAUUCUUGGUGCUCAGAGCAAGGGAACUGUAAGCCAUGGUGAGCUGAGAAAAGGAGAGAAUUAAUGGCCUUAAGACAGCCUACAGGACCAGCCACCCCACGAGGCACUUGGGGUGUGGCUGCCUUGGACUUUGUUGUGUGUAUGUGUGUUCAUGUGUAUGUACAUGUGUGUAUGCGUAUUUAUAUGGGCAUGCAUUUAUGUGUAUUGUGUGCAUGUGUGUGUUAUAUGUAUGGGCAUGCAUGUAUGAGUUCAUGAGUGUGGGCAUGUGUGUUAUGUUUAUGUAUAUAUGUGGUAUGUUAUAUGCAUGUGCUUGUGUGUAUGCAUAUUCAUGUGUGUUUGUGUUCCAGACGCUCAAAACCAUCCUAUGCUGCCCCCUGGGACAUGAGCCCAGCAUUCUUCAUCUGGGAUCUCUCACUCUUCACUUGGGUUUCUAUCUUCUGCAAAGAGUUGCUUCUGAGGCAAUGAAGGGCUUGGCUCUGUGUGGUCAGGGAGAUGUGCGGAGCUCAACAAUAGGAAAUUCCUCAGUUAAUAUCACCAAAUUUCAUUCCGGCAUAUGUAAUAUGGGACCAAUUAUGUCUUCAGAUUGUUAUGAGGAUUUAAUGAGAUAAUCCACGAGAAACCUUUAACACACUGCUUGGCAUGUAGAAAGGGCUCAAUAAAUGUUGCCUGUUAUUAUUAUUACUAACACUAUCAUGCUGCUCAUUGCUUUCCACUGGGAAAUGAAAAUAGACUCCUGGAUUCACUGUCCCUGCCUGUGAACAGAGGUGGUUUUGGAAGCCGUGGCAGCACCCAGUGACCUUCUCCUCAAACUCAACUUCUCUGAAUUAGACCAGGCCAAGGUGAAUGCUCAUAUGUAGCACAUGGAGACCUAGGCGUGCUGGCUCAGCUUUGGAGCAGUGGAGGCAAGUAGAAGCCACUGGAGGAAGCCAAUCAACCACCCACCCUCCCAGGUCCUGGCAUCUGACCCAAGUAUCAGCCUACCAGUAUUGCCACCUGCUGACACAUUUACGUGAUAACAGAUUAUGAGAGAUUCGGCAAAGAUCCUGAACUGUCUUAUCCACAACGGUACAGACCACUUGGAGUGGAAGGAAACACUAUAUGGAAAUUGCCAUCUGCGCAAGCAGCCUGAUUAGAUGACAUCUGCAGACCUCCAUAGAACCAGCUGAUACAUUCACCCUUAGCUUGAAGUCUGGAUUAUACGACCCCACUACAAGCUGGUGGAAGGCAGACUGUGAAGGGGAUGAAGGCUCCCACUCAGAGGCAGCUAAUGCAGCAGCCGAAAAAGAGGAAGCGGAAGUCAGCAACUGAGAUGCACCGUGAAGUCAUCAUGUGGAGUGAGAUAAGCCAGUCAUACGGGACAGCAGGAGUUACCGUGUAACGGGUGCAGCGAUGCAGCCAGCAUGAAGGAAGAGUUCUGGAGAUGGACAGUGGUCACGGUGGGACAACAGUGUGAAUGUACUUAAUGCCAGUGAAUUCGACACUUCAAAUUGUUAAAAUGGUAUAUUUUGUUACGUAUCUCUUACCAGAACAAAAGCAAACACCGAAGACCACCCUGCCUUCUGUAUGGAGAAUCUAGAAAGACUAAGAAAAGGAUGAAAACUACACUUAUGGAAAAGUUGCAAUAAUAGGCCAAAAGCUCUCACUAAUGCCUUACCCAGAUGAUUGGUGACAUAUUGUGGAAAUAAAGUUGAUCCAGACUUGCUGUUGAGCCAGGUGUGAGGGCUGAGGGAAAGAGAAGUUUAUGAUCUGUCCCCUGCAGCCACAGAAAGUUAGCUGUGGAAGGGUAGCCACUGAGUCACGGACCACCAGGACUAGAUCACAAACAUGAGGCCGGGAGAGAGGAGGGGAGCCGUCUGGGGACACACAGGUUUCUGCAGAGGGCCACGAUGUGAGCUUAGGUUCCUAACUUGCAGUUUUUUGGUUUUUAAACAUUACUUAUUUAUUUAUUAUUGUAUUAUUAUUGUUUUUCAGAGACAGAGUGUCUCUGUCA